RNAcentral lists this ribosomal RNA (253 nucleotides) under uncultured bacterium. RNAcentral describes it as "partial 16S ribosomal RNA". It matches the Rfam family "Bacterial small subunit ribosomal RNA", at positions 524 to 776 of the family's 1533-position model. The record is from RNAcentral.
UACGUAGGGUGCAAGCGUUGUCCGGAAUUAUUGGGCGUAAAGAGCUCGUAGGCGGUCUGUCGCGUCGGCUGUGAAAUCCCGAGGCUCAACCUCGGGUCUGCAGUCGAUACGGGCAAACUAGAGUAUUGCAGGGGAGACUGGAAUUCCUGGUGUAGCGGUGAAAUGCGCAGAUAUCAGGAGGAACACCGGUGGCGAAGGCGGGUCUCUGGGCAAUAACUGACGCUGAGGAGCGAAAGCGCGGGGAGCGAACAGG